RNAcentral lists this ribosomal RNA (253 nucleotides) under uncultured Eubacteriales bacterium. RNAcentral describes it as "uncultured Clostridiales bacterium partial 16S ribosomal RNA". It matches the Rfam family "Bacterial small subunit ribosomal RNA", at positions 524 to 776 of the family's 1533-position model. The record is from RNAcentral. Lineage: Bacteria; Bacillati; Bacillota; Clostridia; Eubacteriales.
UACGUAGGGGGCAAGCGUUAUCCGGAUUUACUGGGUGUAAAGGGAGCGUAGACGGCAAGGCAAGUCUGGAGUGAAAGCCCGUGGCCCAACCACGGGACUGCUCUGGAAACUGUGUUGCUGGAGUGCAGGAGGGGUAAGCGGAAUUCCUAGUGUAGCGGUGAAAUGCGUAGAUAUUAGGAGGAACACCGGUGGCGAAAGCGCUUUACUGGACCAUUAUUGACGCUGAGGAACGAAAGCCAGGGGAGCAAAUGGG